UACGUAGGGGGCAAGCGUUGUCCGGAUUUAUUGGGCGUAAAGAGCGUGUAGGCGGCCAGGUAGGUCUGCUGUGAAAACUCGAGGCUCAACCUCGAGAUGUCGGCGGAAACCAUCUGGCUAGAGUCCGGAAGAGGAGAAUGGAAUUCCCGGUGUAGCGGUGAAAUGCGCAGAUAUCGUAAGGAAGACCAGUGGCGAAGGCGGGUCUCUGGACAGUUCCUGACGCUGAGGCACGAAGGUCAGGGGAGCAAACGGG
Molecule: ribosomal RNA, 253 nt
Filed under: uncultured bacterium
Lineage: Bacteria
Description: partial 16S ribosomal RNA
Rfam family: Bacterial small subunit ribosomal RNA
Source: RNAcentral